AAGAUUUUAAGUUAAAAAAACUAGUAACCUUCAAAGUUAUUUAUAAAAGAAAUAUCUUUUAAAUCUUA
RNAcentral lists this transfer RNA (68 nucleotides) under Aegla aff. longirostri MHT-2018. RNAcentral's name for it is "tRNA-Trp". The record is from RNAcentral. Lineage: Eukaryota; Metazoa; Arthropoda; Malacostraca; Decapoda; Aeglidae.